RNAcentral lists this ribosomal RNA (515 nucleotides) under uncultured bacterium. RNAcentral's name for it is "partial 16S ribosomal RNA". It matches the Rfam family "Bacterial small subunit ribosomal RNA", at positions 28 to 523 of the family's 1533-position model. The record is from RNAcentral.
GAUGAACGCUGGCGGCGUGCCUAAUACAUGCAAGUCGAGCGAAUGGAUUGAGAGCUUGCUCUUAUGAAGUUAGCGGCGGACGGGUGAGUAACACGUGGGCAACCUGCCCAUAAGACUGGGAUAACUCCGGGAAACCGGGGCUAAUACCGGAUAACAUUUUGAACCGCAUGGUUCGAAAUUGAAAGGCGGCUUCGGCUGUCACUUAUGGAUGGACCCGCGUCGCAUUAGCUCGUUGGUGAGGUAACGGCUCACCAAGGCAACGAUGCGUAGCCGACCUGAGAGGGUGAUCGGCCACUCUGGGACUGAGACACGGCCCAGACUCCUACGGGAGGCAGCAGUAGGGAAUCUUCCGCAAUGGACGAAAGUCUGACGGAGCAACGCCGCGUGAGUGAUGAAGGCUUUCGGGUCGUAAAACUCUGUUGUUAGGGAAGAACAAGUGCUAGUUGAAUAAGCUGACACCUUGACGGUACCUAACCAGAAAGCCACGGCUAACUACGUGCCAGCAGCCGCCGUAA